GACGAACGCUGGCGGCGUGCUUAACACAUGCAAGUCGAACGGAAAGGCCUCUUUCGGGGGGUACUCGCGUGGCGAACGGGUGAGUAACACGUGAGUAACCUGCCCUUGACUUUGGGAUAACUUCAGGAGACUGGGGCUAAUACCGGAUAGGAGCUCCUGCUGCAUGGUGGGGGUUGGAAAGUUUCGGCGGUUGGGGAUGGACUCGCGGCUUAUCAGCUUGUUGGUGGGGUAGUGGCUUACCAAGGCUUUGACGGGUAGCCGGCCUGAGAGGGUGACCGGGCACAUUGGGACUGAGAUACGGCCCAGACUCCUACGGGAGGCAGCAGUGGGGAAUAUUGCACAAUGGGUGGAAGCCUGAUGCAGCAACGCCGUGGGCGGGAUGACGGCCUUCGGGGUGUAAACCGCUUUCGCUCAGGACGAAGCUUUGUGUGACGGUAGUGGGUAAAGAAGCACCGGCUAACUACGUG
RNAcentral lists this ribosomal RNA (467 nucleotides) under uncultured bacterium. Its description in RNAcentral is "partial 16S ribosomal RNA". It matches the Rfam family "Bacterial small subunit ribosomal RNA", at positions 28 to 507 of the family's 1533-position model. The record is from RNAcentral.